AGAGUUUGAUCAUGGCUCAGGGUAAACGCUGGCGGCGUGCCUAAAACAUGCAAGUCGAACGGAUCACUUUCGGGUGGUCAGUGGCAGACGGCUGAGUAACGCGUGGGUGACGUACCUGUUGGUGGGGCAUAACUGCCCGAAAGGGUGGCUAAUUCCGCAUAAGUCCUCGUUUUCAGUGACGGGGGGAAAGCCGCAAGGCGCCGAUGGAGCGGCCCGCGUCCGAUUAGCUGGUUGGUGGGGUAACGGCCUACCAAGGCGACGAUCGGUAGCUGGUCUCAGAGGAUGAUCAGCCAGACUGGGACUGAGACACGGCCCAGACUCCUACGGGAGGCAGCAGUUAGGAAUUUUGGGCAAUGGGCGCAAGCCUGACCCAGCAACGCCGCGUGGGUGACGAAGGCCUUCGGGUUGUAAAGCCCUUUUCUGAGGGAAGAUGAUGACGGUACCUCAGGAAGAAGCACCGGCUAACUACGUGCCAGCAGCCGCGGUAAUACGUAGGGUGCGAGCGUUGCCCGGAUUUAUUGGGCGUAAAGGGCGCGUAGGCGGCCACGCACGUCCGUUGUGAAAUCGCUCGGCUCAACUGGGCGGGGUCAGCGGAUACGGCGUGGCUGGAGCAAGCUAGGGGGCAAUGGAAUUCCCGGUGUAGUGGUGGAAUGCGUAGAUAUCGGGAGGAACACCAGUGGCGAAGGCGGUUGCCUGGAGCUUUGCUGACGCUGAGGCGCGAAAGCGUGGGGAGCGAUCCGGAUUAGAUACCCCAGUAGUCC
Molecule: ribosomal RNA, 761 nt
Filed under: uncultured bacterium
Lineage: Bacteria
Description: bacterial SSU rRNA
Rfam family: Bacterial small subunit ribosomal RNA
Source: RNAcentral